UCUCUCUCUCACCAUGCUCAACCUUUCCGUUUACAAUUUUCUCAUUUUAGUCAUAACCCUCACUCUACCAGACUCUCACACACACACUCUUUCUCUCUUACUCUCUCUCUCUCUCUCUCUCUCUCUCCCUCUUUCUCUCCAUCUAUAUCUCUCUUCGCCUUUUCUCUCUCUUUCGAUUGCUAUUUUAAUUUUACUUUGCUACAACGUGAAGCAUCAUAUUGUUCUCGGCAGCCACUCAGGCGUCACAAGCUUGGAAUUGAAUAACAUGUGAUGAUUUGUACAGUAGGAUUUGGUAACGUUACUUUGGCAAAAAUGAAAAAUAAAUGUAUUUUGCCCCUGGAUAGUAUUAUCAGGUGUUCAUAUCUUAUUUAUUCUCCAGAAUCGACUACAACACAAGACACCACAACGAUGUCCACCACGGAAUCCACCACCUCACAUCCAACCACAACUACUCAAUCAACUACUACACAAGACGCCACAACGAUGUCCACCACGGAAUCCGCCACCUCACAUCCUACCACAACUACUCAAUCGACUACAACACAAGACGCCACAACGAUGUCCACCACGGAAUCCACCACCUCACAUCCUACCACAACUACUCGUAAGAAAAUUUUAUUUUACACCAUCUCUUUAUCUCUUUAUCUCUCUCUC
Molecule: long non-coding RNA, 654 nt
Organism: Strongylocentrotus purpuratus (purple sea urchin)
Lineage: Eukaryota; Metazoa; Echinodermata; Echinoidea; Camarodonta; Strongylocentrotidae
Exons: 3
Source: RefSeq, a predicted model, not a curated record